Long non-coding RNA from Pogoniulus pusillus (Red-fronted tinkerbird), 1894 nucleotides. RefSeq lists it as uncharacterized. NCBI's taxonomy places the organism in Eukaryota, Metazoa, Chordata, Aves, Piciformes, Lybiidae. The transcript is spliced from 2 exons. The record is from RefSeq and is a predicted model, not a curated record.
GUUUGAACCAAAGCUUAUGCUUUGUUCUCACAUUGCUCCACACAAUCAUCAGGUGAGAUCAUGGAGUCCAGUGAAGGAAAGCAUUUACCCAGUAGAUCAGUCCCACUUCUCUGCAGAGGGCCCCACCUGAUAGCUUUCUGUUACUGACUGUAGUGAGUUGGGCAGAGAAUGGUUGCUUCUUCUUAAGAGCUAUGUUCUCACAAGACCAAAGUUACCUGCAAGCUCAAUUCCAGAAGAAAUACACUGGCCGCUCGUCCCUCCUUGUGUCACUCCACUGUCUCCAGGGUGAUGGCAGCAGCACUGAAGGUGGACUCAUCCAUCUAGGGGAAAACAAAGCUUCCUUCAGAUCCUCUUUUGUUUACUCGAGUCAGCUGUGCUGAGUAUCGAUUCAAUCAGCUAUUUCCUGAACCACAAAAGCAGCUGUGCGCCAUCACGGCCCAUCUACAGGGACUGAACCCUUGCCAGCUAGAAAAUGCAGAAGAGAAAAAAGCAACCCCAAGAAAUCUGCAAUGUGCUGAAGCUUGGAGCUCUCAGAAUUUCUUAGGUGAUGUAUAGGAAAGAUGAAGCUUCUGGUCACUUUCCUGCUGUGGAAGAAGUCAGCAGCUGUGAGCAAGAAGGAGCAACUGGGAAGCAGAUAAUUGUAUAUGACCAUGAAAAAUAGCAGUUGAACACAGUGGUUUCCAGAGGAGGGUAUGAACAGCCCAGGAGCAUGUUUUGAAAGGAUGUGGCUAUUUGGAGUAACAUGAUAGGUUCUGAAGGAAACACAGCUUUGCUUUUUGGAAUAGAUGUGAAAACAACAGCUCAGGCUGUAACAAUUUUGACUGGUACAGCUAAUCACAUAGGCCUAUGAAUUUCUCCAGAUCUUCAGCUUGACUUAGACACUAUGGAAAGAACAUUAAGGAAAAGCUGGAGAAUGAAACACUCUCCAAAGAAUGGUCAGGUGUCUAGAUUGAAGGGCUUGCCAAGGUAGGAGAUCUGGGUGUGGGGCAACAGAGGUGUGCUCCAGCUGGUGGUGGUUCACAAGGGUGCAUGCCAAGUCUAACCUGCAAGCGUACUGUCAAGGAGGUUGGAACCAUCAGUGCAAAUCUACUGCCUGGGGGAAAAGAAGUGGAAGAUCUUAGAAAACAGAAUAUGCUGCAAAAGGGAAAAAAACAGCACCUAGGAGACUAGAACCAACCCAUCUGUGAUUGCUUCUGGAGGAAUCACUCAAGGAAACCUGUGUUCAUUACUGAUGCUUUACAGUCUGUGUGCAAGUCACCCUCCCUCCAUCACGUUGGUUUUCUAUGCUGGAACUUCCAUGUUGAUAGACUUCUCACUAGGAUCCUGAAGACAACUAAUGUUGGUGACAAACUUCAUGAUCUGCAGAAGAACAUCUCUGGGGAACAAAAUUAUAUCACCAGGAUUUAUGACGAAAAUCUCAGUAGGCAGAGCACAUUGCAGGACACAACCCUCAAAACAUCCCCAUCAAGCCUCCUUUGCUCCAAACAUCUCUGCUUAUUUAUUGCUGUAGAAGCAAUAAAAGACUUUUAAAACACUGCAUGGACAAUAAAUAAAGCCAGUCUUCAAAGUACAGACCAACAGAUCAGCUGGAAGCACUCAAAAAAUAUCACCAUGCUUUUAAGUUAUUGUCUUUCCUGUUUAAAAUGUAUGUCUGGUUCUUUACCUAAAACACUAAGACAAGGGGGAAGAGAUAUUAAAACCCUUCCAGACAUUAAAGUAUUAGAACACAGUGUAGUUUUAUUAGGGCAGAAAUGCACAAUGAGGAGAGACUAUCCUUGCAGUAUCCUUUCACAAAUUAACUGGCAGGCCUGAAAGCCAUUUCCUUCCGAAAGCCUGGACUGAUGUUACAUCUGAUCUCGUGAAAAUAGCCAUAAAGUCUGACUUACCAAGAUGA